This 516-nucleotide ribosomal RNA is filed under the name uncultured bacterium. RNAcentral describes it as "bacterial SSU rRNA". It matches the Rfam family "Bacterial small subunit ribosomal RNA", at positions 8 to 502 of the family's 1533-position model. The record is from RNAcentral.
AGAGUUUGAUCCUGGCUCAGAACGAACGCUGGCGGCGUGCUUAACACAUGCAAGUCGAACGAGAAAGUUUCCUUCGGGAAGCGAGUAGAGUGGCGCACGGGUGAGUAACGCGUAGGUAAUCUACCCUUAUAUUUGGGAUAACAUUGGGAAACUGGUGCUAAUACCGGAUAAUCUUUUUUAAUGCGAGUUAGAGAGAGUAAAGGUGGCCUCUUCAUGAAAGCUACCGUAUAGGGAUGAGCCUGCGUACCAUUAGCUAGUAGGUGGGGUAACGGCCCACCUAGGCAACGAUGGUUAGCGGGUCUGAGAGGAUGAUCCGCCACACUGGAACUGGAACACGGACCAGACUCCUACGGGAGGCAGCAGUGAGGAAUAUUGCGCAAUGGGGGCAACCCUGACGCAGCGACGCCGCGUGAGUGAGGAAGGUUUUCGGAUCGUAAAGCUCUGUCAGAAGGGAAGAAGUGCUAUGUGGUUAAUACCCAUGUAGUUUGACGUACCUUCAGAGAAGCACCGCUAACU